AGGGAAUAUUGGGCAAUGGAGGCGACUCUGACUCAGCCAUGCCGCGUGCAGGAAGAAGGCCUUCUGGGUUGUAAACUGCUUUUAUCUGGGAAGAAAACGCUCCUGCGGGGGUAACUGACGGUACCAGAUGAAUAAGCACCGGCUAACUCCGUGCCAGCAGCCGCGGUAAUACGGAGGGUGCAAGCGUUGUCCGGAUUUAUUGGGUUUAAAGGGUGCGUAGGCGGCCUGUUAAGUCAGAGGUGAAAUCCCGGGGCUCAACCCCGGAACUGCCUUUGAUACUGGCAGGCUUGAGUUCGGUAGAGGCGGGCGGAACUCAUGGUGUAGCGGUGAAAUGCAUAGAUACCAUGAAGAACUCCGAUUGCGAAGGCAGCUCGCUGUGCCGAAACUGACGCUGAGGCACGAAAGCGAGGGGAGCGAAC
Molecule: ribosomal RNA, 419 nt
Filed under: uncultured bacterium
Lineage: Bacteria
Description: bacterial SSU rRNA
Rfam family: Bacterial small subunit ribosomal RNA
Source: RNAcentral